This 497-nucleotide ribosomal RNA is filed under the name uncultured bacterium. RNAcentral's name for it is "partial 16S ribosomal RNA". It matches the Rfam family "Bacterial small subunit ribosomal RNA", at positions 28 to 507 of the family's 1533-position model. The record is from RNAcentral.
GAUGAACGCUGGCGGCGUGCCUAAUACAUGCAAGUCGAGCGAACGGACGAGAAGCUUGCUUCUCUGAUGUUAGCGGCGGACGGGUGAGUAACACGUGGAUAACCUACCUAUAAGACUGGGAUAACUUCGGGAAACCGGAGCUAAUACCGGAUAAUAUUUUGAACCGCAUGGUUCAAAAGUGAAAGACGGUCUUGCUGUCACUUAUAGAUGGAUCCGCGCUGCAUUAGCUAGUUGGUAAGGUAACGGCUUACCAAGGCAACGAUGCAUAGCCGACCUGAGAGGGUGAUCGGCCACACUGGAACUGAGACACGGUCCAGACUCCGACGGGAGGCAGCAGUAGGGAAUCUUCCGCAAGGGGCGAAAGCCUGACGGAGCAACGCCGCGUGAGUGAUGAAGGUCUUCGGAUCGUAAAACUCUGUUAUUAGGGAAGAACAUAUGUGUAAGUAACUGUGCACAUCUUGACGGUACCUAAUCAGAAAGCCACGGCUAACUACGUG